CAGCAGCCGCCACGGGAAUACAGAGGGUGCAAGCGUUAAUCGGAAUUACUGGGCGUAAAGCGUGCGUAGGCGGCUUCUUAAGUCGGAUGUGAAAUCCCUGAGCUUAACUUAGGAAUUGCAUUCGAUACUGGGAAGCUAGAGUAUGGGAGAGGAUGGUAGAAUUCCAGGUGUAGCGGUGAAAUGCGUAGAGAUCUGGAGGAAUACCGAUGGCGAAGGCAGCCAUCUGGCCUAAUACUGACGCUGAGGUACGAAAGCAUGGGGAGCAAACAGGAUUAGAUACCCCGGUAGUCCCUGUCUCUUAUAC
Molecule: ribosomal RNA, 304 nt
Filed under: uncultured bacterium
Lineage: Bacteria
Description: partial 16S ribosomal RNA
Rfam family: Bacterial small subunit ribosomal RNA
Source: RNAcentral